Sitophilus oryzae (rice weevil) is the source of this 1089-nucleotide long non-coding RNA. RefSeq lists it as uncharacterized. The transcript has 2 exons. NCBI's taxonomy places the organism in Eukaryota, Metazoa, Arthropoda, Insecta, Coleoptera, Curculionidae. The record is from RefSeq and is a predicted model, not a curated record.
CUGAUAAGACUAGUUUUUGCACCCACGAAAUGGAACCUACUCGUCCUUUGCAUUUUGAGAUUUUUAUCGGUCAAAAGUUUUGUAUUUGUUCAAACCCGUUUCAACGUUCGAUAGCGGGGCAAUAAGUUAUAUUGUGAUAAAUCAUUUAUAAGUAAAAUAUUUGUGAUUAUGGCUGAUGAUGGAGAUCAUAAGUCCAUAUCUAAUAUGGAAAUCUACGAGCACUGGUUGAAAUUCAAGCAUCUUGGAAGAAAAUCAUGCUGCAAUAAUAUUGAAAAACGUCUUAAAAUAAAUAGCAACCGAAAAACUUAUGAAAAGGUAAUAAAAAUUUUGAAAAACUUGGAAAAGCGGUGGAAGGCUAGCCAGUGCACCAAAAGCAUUAUGUUAAAACAUCAUCAUUUUUUUGGAAACCUGAAGUACGAUUGCAAAAAUUUAAUGUGUUUUGUAUUAUUUACUUUCCUUUUUGAAAUAGAAUUGCGUUUUUUUAUAGGUAAAUUAUUGAUAUUUAUAAAAUUUGUUUUUUACCCAUUUUCAAUAAUUUAUUCUAGUUAAUCUAUGAAUUUAAAUUAUUUUUUUAUUUGUAUUGAAAUUAAUUAGACUGUAAACUUCAUUUCACGAGUAAUUAUUGGUCUUAACAAUUAUUGAUAGAAAAGUCAUUUUCCAAUAAUUAUAGGUUAUAAAACUCGGCUCUAAAUACUUUAUAUUUAUUUUUUAUGUCAUGACCAUUCUUCGUGAGGUACUUAUACUGUAUAAAACAGUAUUAUUUUUAUGUUAUGUCCCUUAGGUUUAGAUUAGUUUAGAAUGAUAUUAUUUAAUUUCUUGUUAUUAUUUUUCUGUUUAUCGUUUUUAAGUAGAAAAUUAUUAAAAGUUAUCUAUUUGGUUAAUUUUGAUAGAAUAAAAAUCCAUUAUUUGUUAAUUUUAAAAAAUACGGUUCUGUUAUAAUAUUUAUAAUGUUGAUUGCUAAAACUUUACUAUGGGUUCAUUAAAUACGAAUAGUUACAUAUUACUAUUAUCUUGAUUGAGAUUUUUUUAAUAAAAACCAAAUUAUAGAUUUUCAACUACUGACAAAUAAGAUUUUGGUAGGACAUUACU